GUAUAAAUUGGAAACAUUAAAAAAGCAAUCAAAAAUGUUUGAGCCAAGGCAACAACAGCAAACGUUUGCGGUCUUCUUGGGUCAGUUUAACCUGCGCUGGCUGGUCCGUUAACCUGUUGCUUCUCCAUCGGAAUGGUGCAGCUUCACACGAAGCGAAUGUUGGGGGAACUCGAUCUCGAGAGUUGAUGAUGGCAACGAUUGGCAGCGAUCGAGAUGUGUGCUACGGCGUCGAUGGGGCAACCGCACUCAACAUUUUAGACUUAACGCCUUG
Molecule: long non-coding RNA, 271 nt
Filed under: Drosophila guanche
Lineage: Eukaryota; Metazoa; Arthropoda; Insecta; Diptera; Drosophilidae
Source: RNAcentral